This is a long non-coding RNA of Misgurnus anguillicaudatus (oriental weatherfish), 1131 nucleotides long. RefSeq lists it as uncharacterized. The record is from RefSeq and is a predicted model, not a curated record. Lineage: Eukaryota; Metazoa; Chordata; Actinopteri; Cypriniformes; Cobitidae.
GCUGCAAGCUCGAAGUGUGGCUGCAGCACUUCUCGCUCGUAACGUGAAACUUAAAAACACGCCAAGGAGUGGAUGCAAGUGAACUAUCAAUCUACUGAAACAGAAGCGGGAAAUGUAUUCGAAGACGAAAAUGCUCGCGCGACCUGUGCGUCAGACCCGGAUAAACGCACGCGAGCUGACAAAAUCCUGAGUAGCUGUUAUUCAACAUAAACACAUUUCCGCACACAUGAAGAUGGAUGACGAUAGUUCAUCUUAAAAUGAAACUUAUGUUUAUCAGCUUACCCCCAGGCCAUCCAAGAGAUGCUCUUAAGAACAACGCCCUGAUGUCCAAGAUCAACCAGCAAGAAGCUGAGAAGGCACUGCCAAAAUGGUUUACUGGGGCAAGGGACAGAGGAGGACAGAGAGCAUCAAGAAUGCAGAAAAGGAUGUCUGUUUGAGAAAGGUUAAAACUACAGUUGUUGAUUUGAACUGUUGUAGUUCUUUAAUUUUUCUUAAAGGAAAACACAAUCAUUUUUCAAUAUUUACCAUGUUCUUCCCUCAACUUAGAUGAAUUAAUACAAACCUCUCUUUUCUCAAUGUGUGCACUUAAAGGUGGGGUGCACAAUUUCUAAAAAAAAACGUUUUGGAAAAGGGAGACAGGCCGACUAUCAAAACACACGUGUAGCCAAUUAGCAGCAUGUCUACUAAAUGACAUCGUUGCCUGGGUUGCGUAUGUGUGGGGCGGGUCUAUCAAAAGAAGGUCCAGAUUCUAUUAGGGUAAGGGUGUGUUUGUUUAGAUGAUUUCAAAUAUCAACAUUGGCUUUCAUGCACCCUGCCUUUAUUUGUUGUAAAGUGUGGCGUGAAUGUGUUAGCAUUUAGCCAAGCACCAUUCAUUCAUUAGGAUCCAAACAGGGAUGAAUUUAAUAGCCACCAAACACUUCCAUGUUUUCCCUAUUCAAAGACUGUUACAUGAGUAGUUACACGAGGAAGUAUGGUAAAAAAUAUAACUAUAUUGUAUGGCGGAAGAGCACUUAGUUUGUAGCACUCGACCUUGGGCACAGUAACAUCAUCACUCCUGACUACUCCCCCUCUUGCUUAAACUACAGUCAACAUAACCAACACGCCUGUACUAAUGUUAGUACAUUGAGCAGA